AGAUAAGAAGUGUAAAUUACGCACAAUUGAUUUUCAAUCAUUAAGAAUAUAUAAAAUAUCUAUCUA
This 66-nucleotide transfer RNA is filed under the name Chaetopleura apiculata. Its description in RNAcentral is "tRNA-Glu". The record is from RNAcentral. Lineage: Eukaryota; Metazoa; Mollusca; Polyplacophora; Chitonida; Chaetopleuridae.